UACGUAGGGUGCGAGCGUUAAUCGGAAUUACUGGGCGUAAAGCGUGCGCAGGCGGUUCGUUAAGUCAGAUGUGAAAGCCCCGGGCUCAACCUGGGAACUGCAUUUGAAACUGGCGGGCUUGAGUAUGGCAGAGGGGGGUGGAAUUCCGCGUGUAGCAGUGAAAUGCGUAGAGAUGUGGAGGAACACCGAUGGCGAAGGCAGCCUCCUGGGCCAGCACUGACGCUCAUGCACGGAAGCGUGGGGAGCAAACAGG
RNAcentral lists this ribosomal RNA (253 nucleotides) under uncultured bacterium. RNAcentral's name for it is "partial 16S ribosomal RNA". It matches the Rfam family "Bacterial small subunit ribosomal RNA", at positions 524 to 776 of the family's 1533-position model. The record is from RNAcentral.